Myotis lucifugus (little brown bat) is the source of this 80-nucleotide microRNA precursor. The record is from Ensembl. Lineage: Eukaryota; Metazoa; Chordata; Mammalia; Chiroptera; Vespertilionidae.
UAACCUCCCAAAUAUAUAUAUAUAUGUACGUAUGUGUAUAUCAAUGUAUACGUAGAUAUAUAUGUAUUUUUGGUGGGUUU